RNAcentral lists this ribosomal RNA (424 nucleotides) under uncultured bacterium. RNAcentral's name for it is "bacterial SSU rRNA". It matches the Rfam family "Bacterial small subunit ribosomal RNA", at positions 28 to 449 of the family's 1533-position model. The record is from RNAcentral.
GAUGAACGCUGGCGGCGUGCUUAACACAUGCAAGUCGAGCGAUGAAGUUUCCUUCGGGAAACGGAUUAGCGGCGGACGGGUGAGUAACACGUGGGUAACCUGCCUCAUAGAGUGGAAUAGCCUUCCGAAAGGAAGAUUAAUACCGCAUAACGUUGAAAGAUGGCAUCAUCAUUUAACCAAAGGAGCAAUCCGCUAUGAGAUGGACCCGCGGCGCAUUAGCUAGUUGGUGGGGUAACGGCCUACCAAGGCGACGAUGCGUAGCCGACCUGAGAGGGUGAUCGGCCACAUUGGGACUGAGACACGGCCCAGACUCCUACGGGAGGCAGCAGUGGGGAAUAUUGCACAAUGGGGGAAACCCUGAUGCAGCAACGCCGCGUGAGUGAUGAAGGUUUUCGGAUCGUAAAGCUCUGUCUUUGGGGAAGAU